Long non-coding RNA from Parus major (Great Tit), 370 nucleotides. RefSeq lists it as uncharacterized. The transcript is spliced from 3 exons. NCBI's taxonomy places the organism in Eukaryota, Metazoa, Chordata, Aves, Passeriformes, Paridae. The record is from RefSeq and is a predicted model, not a curated record.
CGGUGCGGGUGGUACGGGCCGAGCGCGGCCGGGAGGCGGCCGGGCGCAGUGGUUGGUGCCGCUGAGGGGGAGCGGCCGCCAUGGCGAGCGGGGGGAUCCGCUGGCACCGUGAAUGUCCCGCCGGCACCGUGAAUGUCCCGGAAAAUUAACAUCCUGGUGUUUUCCUUGCACAAAGUCCCCCUGCCAAGGUUUUGCUGUGGAGGAAGGAGUGAAUUGAUUAAAUCGAGAAAAUUUUGAUAGAGCAUCCAAUCCUUCACUCUUCUUCCUGAUUCUGGAGGAAACUCCUGGGCUUUAAUCUGGAUUUCCAAAUAAAAUUUGUUGUAAAUAAAAAAAAUUCUGAAAUAAAAAGAAGGGAAAUACAAAUUCCGAA